This 275-nucleotide ribosomal RNA is filed under the name uncultured bacterium. Its description in RNAcentral is "partial 16S ribosomal RNA". It matches the Rfam family "Bacterial small subunit ribosomal RNA", at positions 523 to 796 of the family's 1533-position model. The record is from RNAcentral.
AUACGGGGGGGGCAAGCGUUGUUCGGAUUUACUGGGCGUCAAGAGAGCGUAGGCGGUUGAUCAAGUCCGGUGUGAAAGCCAUAGCGCUCAACGCAUGGACGUCAUCGGAAACUGGUCGACUGGAGUAGGGUAGAGGCAAGCGGAAUUGGUAGUGUAGCGGUGGAAUGUGUAGAUAUUACCAAGAACAUCGGUGGCGAAGGCGGCUUGCUGGGCCCUUACUGACGCUGAGGCUCGAAAGCGUGGGUAGCGAACAGGAUUAGAAACCCCUGUAGUCC